UACGGAGGAUCCAAGCGUUAUCCGGAAUCAUUGGGUUUAAAGGGUCCGUAGGCGGUUUGGUAAGUCAGUGGUGAAAGCCCAUCGCUCAACGGUGGAACGGCCAUUGAUACUGCCAGACUUGAAUUAUUAGGAAGUAACUAGAAUAUGUAGUGUAGCGGUGAAAUGCUUAGAGAUUACACGUGAAUACCAAUGCGUAAGGCAGGUUACUACUAAUGGAUUGACGCUGAUGGACGAAAGCGUGGGUAGCGAACAGG
Molecule: ribosomal RNA, 254 nt
Filed under: uncultured bacterium
Lineage: Bacteria
Description: partial 16S ribosomal RNA
Rfam family: Bacterial small subunit ribosomal RNA
Source: RNAcentral